AACGAACGCUGGCGGCAGGCUUAACACAUGCAAGUCGAACGCAUCCUUCGGGGUGAGUGGCAGACGGGUGAGUAACGCGUGGGAACGUGCCCUUCAGUUCGGGAUAACCCAGGGAAACUUGGGCUAAUACCGGAUACGUGCGAGAGCAGAAAGAUUUAUCGCUGAAGGAUCGGCCCGCGUCUGAUUAGCUAGUUGGUGAGGUAAUGGCUCACCAAGGCGACGAUCAGUAGCUGGUCUGAGAGGAUGAUCAGCCACACUGGGACUGAGACACGGCCCAGACUCCUACGGGAGGCAGCAGUGGGGAAUAUUGGACAAUGGGCGCAAGCCUGAUCCAGCCAUGCCGCGUGAGUGAUGAAGGCCUUAGGGUUGUAAAGCUCUUUCGGCGGGGACGAUAAUGACGGUACCCGCAGAAGAAGCCCCGGCUAACUUCGUGCCAGCCGCCGCGGUAA
RNAcentral lists this ribosomal RNA (449 nucleotides) under uncultured bacterium. RNAcentral describes it as "partial 16S ribosomal RNA". It matches the Rfam family "Bacterial small subunit ribosomal RNA", at positions 29 to 523 of the family's 1533-position model. The record is from RNAcentral.